GAAGAAGAAGAACGCCAAAUGACGUACGGCUGUGCGGGAAACAUGAACACGGUGCAGUAUGGGCUCAUCUCUUGUUUCUGUUUCUGAGCAGCUUUUAAAAGACCUACAGAGAACUUACUCGGAGAGAAAGCAGAUACCAGAUGACCUACUAAUAGCAUUACGGUUUGUAUUCGGCCCAUCUGCUCUUCAGGCAUUGGACCUGGUGGACCAGCGUACUGUCACAUGUGUGUCAUCGCCUAGUGGUCGAAAGGCUUUUCAGGUAUUGGGUGGAUCGGGUCGUCUGUACACGUGCUUCACGUCCUGUCACUACUGCCCGUGCCCUGCCUUCUCUUACACUGUGCUCAGGAGAAACGAAAGUCUGAUGUGUAAACACCUUCUGGCAGUCGUCCUGAGUCAGGCCAUGGGUUUGUGUCAGCAGGAGCAGGUCUCUGAUCAGCAGAUGACACACAUUCUCUCAAGGCAAACCGAAGCCAGCACAUAAAUAACUGAUUCUGGAGUGUCGAGGGACUCUUAUGUGAACAUGCAUGCUGGAAUACAGCUGACAGCAAAAGUGAGGGAAGUCCUGAGAGCCUUGCCCAGACAAUGAGAGGAAAACACCAGCUAAGCAGCUUCAUUGGGUGCGUCAGGCUGUCUUUUGUCUGUUGACUGUGAAAGCUUUUUAACACUGCCACUUUAACAUUUCAUGACAGGAGACAAAUGCUUUCUGUAAUGGACAAAUAAUGACAAAAGUAUGUUCAUCUAUCUAUGGAUCUGCAAAGUUUUAAAUGAUUGUUUGCUCAUGUCAUAGUGAUUACAUUUUGCAAACAUGACUGAUACAGAAUCUCUUUAUAUGAUCAAGCAGCACAAACACAUUUAACUUUAGCAAGUGUUGAGAUACAACACCCAUAGACUAACAGGAUAGAGAAGUAAUUCAAAUAUGACACACCUCAGCUGACAAACAUACAGUGUGUACUAGUGUGCAAUACAGCGAGAGUGUGUAUAUUAGAGUGAAUAAAACUCAUAUCAACAGCAGAAAGAGAAAUGU
RNA transcript from Danio aesculapii, 1024 nucleotides. It is a transcript of the gene named zinc finger, SWIM-type containing 7, with no coding region annotated. The transcript is spliced from 7 exons. The record is from RefSeq and is a predicted model, not a curated record. Lineage: Eukaryota; Metazoa; Chordata; Actinopteri; Cypriniformes; Danionidae.